AGUGUCCCCAGACUUUGAAGAGAGUGGGGAAGGGGCCUUCAGGGGGUCCCUGCAGGAAGGGAGCGCAGAGGCAGCGGCCGGCCCAGCGAGCAUCAUCAGAUACCUGUGGCUCUCAGGCCCUCCCUUCUGUCCCUGCCCCCUGCAGAGAAUGAUCUGGAAGGAUUCUCUGUUUUGGAAUCUCCAUCUCUGAGAGCUGUUCUCCUUUCAUUUCUGUUGCUCUGAUGAAACAACCUACGGAAAAAAACAGCUUAAUAGAGAAGGGAUUAUUUUAGCUCUACCCCUUGAGGUUCCUGCGUUGGUUUCCCUGGAUGAUGGGCUGUAACCUCUAACCCAGAAAAGCACAUAACUUGUUUAAGCCAGCCGAAUAUGUGAUGAACACACAGCAUCAUUACAGCUAAAUAA
RNAcentral lists this long non-coding RNA (402 nucleotides) under Mus caroli (Ryukyu mouse). RNAcentral describes it as "lncRNA (MGP_CAROLIEiJ_G0006223.1)". Lineage: Eukaryota; Metazoa; Chordata; Mammalia; Rodentia; Muridae. The record is from RNAcentral.